Molecule: ribosomal RNA, 117 nt
Filed under: Chloroflexota bacterium
Lineage: Bacteria; Bacillati; Chloroflexota
Source: RNAcentral
UACGGUGGUUAGAGCGUAAUGGACCCACCCGUUCCCAUUCCGAACACGGAAGUGAAACUUUACAGCGCCGACGAUACUGCAUCUGCGAGGAUGUGGGAAAAUAAGUCACUGCCAAUU